RNAcentral lists this ribosomal RNA (691 nucleotides) under uncultured Gammaproteobacteria bacterium. RNAcentral's name for it is "bacterial SSU rRNA". It matches the Rfam family "Bacterial small subunit ribosomal RNA", at positions 199 to 870 of the family's 1533-position model. Lineage: Bacteria; Pseudomonadati; Pseudomonadota; Gammaproteobacteria. The record is from RNAcentral.
GGGGAAAGCAGGGGAUCUUCGGACCUUGCGCUAAUAGAUGAGCCUAAGUCAGAUUAGCUAGUUGGUGGGGUAAAGGCCUACCAAGGCGACGAUCUGUAGCGGGUCUGAGAGGAUGAUCCGCCACACUGGGACUGAGACACGGCCCUGACUCCUACGGGAGGCAGCAGUGGGGAAUAUUGGACAAUGGGCGAAAGCCUGAUCCAGCCAUGCCGCGUGUGUGAAGAAGGCCUUUUGGUUGUAAAGCACUUUAAGCGAGGAGGAGGCUACUUGGAUUAAUACUCUAGGAUAGUGGACGUUACUCGCAGAAUAAGCACCGGCUAACUCUGUGCCAGCAGCCGCGGUAAUACAGAGGGUGCGAGCGUUAAUCGGAUUUACUGGGCGUAAAGCGUGCGUAGGCGGCUUUUUAAGUCGGAUGUGAAAUCCCUGAGCUUAACUUAGGAAUUGCAUUCGAUACUGGGAAGCUAGAGUAUGGGAGAGGAUGGUAGAAUUCCAGGUGUAGCGGUGAAAUGCGUAGAGAUCUGGAGGAACACCGAUGGCGAAGGCAGCCAUCUGGCCUAAUACUGACGCUGAGGUACGAAAGCAUGGGGAGCAAACAGGAUUAGAUACCCUGGUAGUCCAUGCCGUAAACGAUGUCUACUAGCCGUUGGGGCCUUUGAGGCUUUAGUGGCGCAGCUAACGCGAUAAGUAGACC